GUGCUUGCUUCGCCAGCACGUAUAUUAAAAUUGGAACGAUACGGAGAAGAUUAGCAUGGGCCCUGCGCGAAAAUGGCAUGUAAACUCGUGAAGCGUUCCAUCAUCAU
This 107-nucleotide small nuclear RNA is filed under the name Salvator merianae (Argentine black and white tegu). The record is from RNAcentral. Lineage: Eukaryota; Metazoa; Chordata; Lepidosauria; Squamata; Teiidae.